Molecule: long non-coding RNA, 612 nt
Organism: Gekko japonicus
Lineage: Eukaryota; Metazoa; Chordata; Lepidosauria; Squamata; Gekkonidae
Exons: 3
Source: RefSeq, a predicted model, not a curated record
UCAUGCUGGAGCUGGAAAGAAAAGACGCAAACUUGUACCUUCUGCAUAGAUAUAUGGCCGUUUUAUGGCCGUUCAGGGAUGACUGCAGUCAGUGCCACAUUGCUUUGAGGUAUUUGGAUGUGGUUUUGAGAUGCACUUUUUCCUCUGAAUUGAGAAAAUGUGAAGCAAAUGCUAGAUGCAGAAUCGCCCAUUCCUGAAAGCUGAAAAAACUCAAGAGGCAAUUUUUUCAGCAAAGUCAGUUUCCACCCACAAGAAUCCAGAGGCAAAGCAUCCAGAGGUUGAGCCUAUGUUGAUUCAGUGUUCCUUAAGGAACAGAGACGUGUUUGGAGGGUCUAGGGAGGCCAGUACCUAAAGUUGCCUGAGACUGCAUCACUUUUACAGACUAUGCAAGUAAAGAAGAGCCAGUGUCACCACAAUAUACUUUGGGAAAGCUGCCGUGAAGAAAAAAUCCACAAUUUCAUCUUCUGGUAAGAGUAAUAGCCCAGAGAAGAUGGAUAAAAAUCGAGAGGAGAAGACAUUCCCUGUCUAGGUCUCACAGACUUCAAAUGUACAACAUAUGAACAUAAGAACAUAAGAGAAGCCAAUGCUGGAUCAGGCCAAGGACCCAUCCAG